GCGCAUAUGAUGUGAAGUUUACAUUGACUGACUAUGUGAUGUAUACAAAGGAACCACUGAUGCCA
Small nucleolar RNA from Sardina pilchardus (European sardine), 65 nucleotides. RefSeq annotates it as small nucleolar RNA SNORD42. The transcript has a single exon. Lineage: Eukaryota; Metazoa; Chordata; Actinopteri; Clupeiformes; Clupeidae. The record is from RefSeq and is a predicted model, not a curated record.